RNAcentral lists this ribosomal RNA (253 nucleotides) under uncultured bacterium. Its description in RNAcentral is "partial 16S ribosomal RNA". It matches the Rfam family "Bacterial small subunit ribosomal RNA", at positions 524 to 776 of the family's 1533-position model. The record is from RNAcentral.
UACGUAGGGGGCAAGCGUUGUCCGGAAUUAUUGGGCGUAAAGAGCGCGUAGGCGGUCCGGUAAGUCGGUUGUGAAAGUCGGGGGCUCAACCCUCGGAUGCCGAUCGAUACUGUCGGGCUAGAGUCCGGAAGAGGCGAGUGGAAUUCCUGGUGUAGCGGUGAAAUGCGCAGAUAUCAGGAGGAACACCGAUGGCGAAGGCAGGUCUCUGGGCCACUACUGACGCUGAGAAGCGAAAGCAUGGGGAGCGAACAGG